RNAcentral lists this ribosomal RNA (1797 nucleotides) under Durio zibethinus. RNAcentral describes it as "SSU rRNA". It matches the Rfam family "Eukaryotic small subunit ribosomal RNA". Lineage: Eukaryota; Viridiplantae; Streptophyta; Magnoliopsida; Malvales; Malvaceae. The record is from RNAcentral.
CUUGGUUAAUCUUGCCAGUAGUCAUAUACUUAUCUCAAAGACUAAGCGAUGCAUGUGUAAGUAUGAACUAAUUUAGACUGUGAAAUUGUGAAUGGCUCAUUAAAUCAGUUAUAGUUUGUUUGAUGGUAUCUACUACUCAAAUAACCAUAGUAAAUCUCCAGCUAAAGCAUACAACAAACCUUUGCUUCUGGAAAGGAUGUAUUUAUUAGAUAAAAGGUUGACGCGGGCUUUGCCCUUUGCUCUAAUGAUUCAUUAUAACUCAAGGGAUCGCAUAACCUUUGUGCUAGUGAUGUAUCAUUCAAAUGUUUGCCAUAUCAACUUUUGAUGGUAGGAUAAUGGCCUACUAUGGUGAUGACCAGUGACGAAGAAUUAGGGUUUGAUUCUGGAGAGAGAACCUAAGAAAAGGCUAACACAUCCAAAGAAGGCUAUAGGUAAAAAAUUACCCAAUCUUGACACAGGGAGGUUAUGAUAAUAAAUAACAAUACCGAGCUCUAUGAGUUUAGUAAUUGAAAUGAAUACAAUCUAAAUCCCUUAAUAAGGAUCCAUUGGAGGGCCAUCCAUUGAAGGACAAGUCUGGUGCCAGCAGCUACGAUAAUUCUAGCUCUAAUAGCAUAUAUUUAAGUUGUUACAGUUAAAAAACUCAUAGUUGGAACUAGGAUUAGGUCGUCUAGUCCAUCUCAUGAUGAGCACUAGUUUACUUGUCCUUAUAACCAAUGAUACCAAUGAUAUGCUCUUGACCUUAACUAGCCAAGUCAUUCCUCUGGUGAUGUUACUUUGGAAAAAAUUAGAGUGCUCAAAGUAGGCCUAUGUUUGUAUACAUUAGCAUAAGAUAACAUCAAAGGAUAUUAGUGCUAUUGUGUUGGCCUUUGGGAUCAGAGUAAUGAUUAAUAGGGAUAGUUAAGGGCAUUCGUAUUUUAUAGUCAGAGGUGAAAUUCUUGGAUUUUUGAAAGAUGAACAAUUGCAAAAGCAUUUGCCAAAGUGUUUUCAUUAAUCAAGAAUAAAAUUUGGGGGUUCAAAGUUGGUCAAAUACCAUCCUAGUCUCAACUAUAAAUGAUGCCAACCAGGGAUCAACGAAUGUUACUUUUAGGACUUUGUCAGCACCUUAUGAAAAAUCAAAGUCUUUGGAUUCUAGGAGGAGUAUGUUUGCAAGGCUAAAACUUAAAAGAAUUAAUGGAAAGGCACCACCAAUAGUGGAGCUUAUAGUUUAAUUUGACUCAACACAAGGAAACUUAUCAGGUCCAGACAUAGUAUGGAUUGACAUCUGAGAGCUCUUUCUUGAUUCUAUAAGUGGUGGUGCAUGGCCAUUCUUAGUUGGUAGAGCGAUUUGUCUACUUAAUUCUAUUAACGAAUGAGACCUUAACCUAUUAACUAGUUACAUGGAGAUGAUCCUUUAUGGCUAGCUUCUUAAAGGGACUAUGGCUACUUGACUAAAGAAGUUUAAGGUAAUAAUCGGUCUAUGAUGCCUUCAGAUGUUUUGGGCUACAUGUGCGCUACAUUGAUGUAUUCAACGAGUCUAUAGCCUUGGCCAAUAGGCUUGGGUAAUCUUUGAAAUUUCAUCGUGAUGGGCAUAGAUCAUUGUACUUAUUGGUCUUCAACAAGGAAUUCUUAAUAAGUGUGAGUCAUUAGCUCUUGUUGACUACGUCCCUACCCUUUGUACACACUAACAAUCACUCAUACCAAUUGAAUGGUCUAGUAUGGACGGUUCAGUACCUGUGACGUUACGAGAAGUCCACUAAACCUUAUCAUUUAGAGGAAAGAGAAGUCGUAACAAGGUUUCCAUAGGUGAACUUAUGGAAG